Molecule: ribosomal RNA, 499 nt
Filed under: uncultured Glomeromycotina
Lineage: Eukaryota; Fungi; Glomeromycota
Description: partial small subunit ribosomal RNA
Rfam family: Eukaryotic small subunit ribosomal RNA
Source: RNAcentral
CCAAUAGCGUAUAUUAAAGUUGUUGCAGUUAAAAAGCUCGUAGUUGAAUUUCGGGGUCAGUAAGUUGGUCGUGCCAAUGGUAUGUACUGGCUUUACUGAUUCCUCCUUCUUGAAGAACUGUAAUGCCAUUAAUUUGGUGUUGCAGGGAAUCAGGACUGUUACUUUGAAAAAAUUAGAGUGUUUAAAGCAGGCUUACGCUUGAAUACAUUAGCAUGGAAUAAUGAAAUAGGACGUUGAUCUUAUUUUGUUGGUUUCUAGGAUUGACGUAAUGAUUAAUAGGGAUAGUUGGGGGCAUUAGUAUUCAAUUGUCAGAGGUGAAAUUCUUGGAUUUAUUGAAGACUAACUACUGCGAAAGCAUUUGCCAAGGAUGUUUUCAUUAAUCAAGAACGAAAGUUAGGGGAUCGAAGACGAUCAGAUACCGUCGUAGUCUUAACCAUAAACUAUGCCGACUAGGGAUCGGAUGAUGUUAAUUUUUUAAUGACUCAUUCGGCGCCUUACG